Molecule: transfer RNA, 73 nt
Filed under: Candidatus Aquiluna sp. UB-MaderosW2red
Lineage: Bacteria; Bacillati; Actinomycetota; Actinomycetes; Micrococcales; Microbacteriaceae
Rfam family: tRNA
About the family: Transfer RNA (tRNA) molecules are approximately 80 nucleotides in length.
Source: Rfam by way of RNAcentral
AGGGCGGUAGUUCAAUUGGUAGAGCAUCGGUCUCCAAAACCGAAAGUUGCAGGUUCAAAUCCUGUCCGCCCUG